This is a small nucleolar RNA of Ornithorhynchus anatinus (platypus), 138 nucleotides long. The record is from RefSeq and is a predicted model, not a curated record. NCBI's taxonomy places the organism in Eukaryota, Metazoa, Chordata, Mammalia, Monotremata, Ornithorhynchidae.
CCCUUCUCAGCGUCGCACCUGGAGAAUUUCCAGUACUCUACCAGUUUUGGCUAAGGGAAGAAGAAUCAAGCAGAGGCAUACCCAUUCCAUUACUAGCUUGACCACUGGCUAGCGAGUGGAAGACAAUCAGCUACAAGU